AUGUGUUCCUCCUCCGGCGCCUUCCAACCCAACAUCAAUGGCCACGUCACCGAGAAGCUGGCGCGCACAAACUAUGUGCUAUGGCGCAUGCAGGUCAUCCCCCAGCUGCGUGGUCCCGGUGUCUUCGGCUACGUCGACGGCACCUAGCCGGAGCCGGCGAAACUCCUCUUCACCACCAAGGACGGCAAGGAGACUUCAUCGCCCAACCCUCUCUACCCAAUCUGGGUUAGGGAGGAUCAGCAGGUUCUCAGUUACCUGCUGAACAAUCUGAUGCGCGAGGUUCUUCUC
Molecule: ribosomal RNA, 288 nt
Filed under: Triticum aestivum (bread wheat)
Lineage: Eukaryota; Viridiplantae; Streptophyta; Magnoliopsida; Poales; Poaceae
Description: partial small subunit ribosomal RNA
Source: RNAcentral